CAACAAUUGCAUCCAUCUCUGUCUUUGAAGUAGUGCUUUCAUUUUGCUUGCAGUAUCUCUAUCUAAACACAAAGAAGAGAUCACAAUUUGGUUCAGCAUAGGGAGUUGUUGGGGUAAGAGAGGUGCAGUGGCAUGCAUAUUAUCUUUUGCAUCAAGUUAUAUAUGUAUGAUCAAUUGAAGUUACAUGUUUCUCUAACCAAAAUACCUCUAUGCAAAUCUAAAACCAAUGUCAAACUCAGAGAAUUUCCUUCCACCAGCUAAAUGCUUGAUCCUUGAGCUUUCCAUUACUCUUGUAAACAUUGCUCUGAGAUCACUAAAGCACACAUUAGCAAACAAAGUUCCAAAUUCCUCAUCAUCACUUUCAAAUGAAACCAAAUAGAAAACAAUUUGUCCCUUAUUCUCAACUUGGUUUGAUUUUAAAUACUAGCUCCGGUGAUAUCGUCUUCCUACACUUAUAACACGUUCUUACUACACGUAUACAAUUUUGCUAGUGCCUCUCUCCACAACCUUGUUUACCUGUUUUUUAAAAACAACAAACUUUUAGAAUAAGAGGAAUCACUCUGAUGUAUAUAUGGAUUUAGGUCACAUUCAUAUCGUGUGACCUCAAUCACAUAUGUUGACUAAUAAAGUAGUCCAAGACGAUUUGCAGACAUCUCCCCUCUUCAUGAUACAAUCCGUAAAACAUCUAAAGCAAAAAUAGGAUAAUGGUGAUGAAAUCAAGACUUGUUACACAAGUAAUUUGAGCUAAGUUACUCGUAAACCCUAGAAAACAGAGCCCAAAUUUGAG
This 787-nucleotide long non-coding RNA is filed under the name Capsella rubella. Its description in RNAcentral is "long non-coding RNA (CRUB_LNC001475)". Lineage: Eukaryota; Viridiplantae; Streptophyta; Magnoliopsida; Brassicales; Brassicaceae. The record is from RNAcentral.